RNAcentral lists this ribosomal RNA (429 nucleotides) under bacterium. Its description in RNAcentral is "partial 16S ribosomal RNA". It matches the Rfam family "Bacterial small subunit ribosomal RNA", at positions 355 to 776 of the family's 1533-position model. The record is from RNAcentral.
UGGGGAAUUUUGGACAAUGGGGGCAACCCUGAUCCAGCAAUGCCGCGUGUGUGAAGAAGGCCUUCGGGUUGUAAAGCACUUUUGUCCGGAAAGAAAACUUCGGGGCUAAUACCCCUGGAGGAUGACGGUACCGGAAGAAUAAGCACCAGCUAACUACGUGCCAGCAGCCGCGGUAAUACGUAGGGUGCGAGCGUUAAUCGGAAUUACUGGGCGUAAAGCGUGCGCAGGCGGUGCUGUAAGACCGAUGUGAAAUCCCCGGGCUUAACCUGGGAACUGCAUUGGUGACUGCAGCGCUGGAGUAUGGCAGAGGGGGGUGGAAUUCCACGUGUAGCAGUGAAAUGCGUAGAGAUGUGGAGGAACACCGAUGGCGAAGGCAGCCCCCUGGGCCAAUACUGACGCUCAUGCACGAAAGCGUGGGGAGCAAACAGG